Molecule: ribosomal RNA, 240 nt
Filed under: uncultured bacterium
Lineage: Bacteria
Description: partial 16S ribosomal RNA
Rfam family: Bacterial small subunit ribosomal RNA
Source: RNAcentral
UACGUAGGGUGCGAGCGUUGUCCGGAAUUAUUGGGCGUAAAGAGCUUGUAGGCGGUCUGUCGCGUCUGCUGUGAAAAUCCGGGGCUCAACCCCGGACUUGCAGUGGGUACGGGCAGACUAGAGUGUGGUAGGGGAGACUGGAAUUCCUGGUGUAGCGGUGAAAUGCGCAGAUAUCAGGAGGAACACCGAUGGCGAAGGCAGGUCUCUGGGCCACUACUGACGAUGAGAAGCGAAAGCAUG